RNAcentral lists this ribosomal RNA (425 nucleotides) under uncultured bacterium. RNAcentral's name for it is "bacterial SSU rRNA". It matches the Rfam family "Bacterial small subunit ribosomal RNA", at positions 356 to 773 of the family's 1533-position model. The record is from RNAcentral.
AGGGAAUCUUCCACAAUGGGCGAAAGCCUGAUGGAGCAACGCCGCGUGAGCGAAGAAGGCCUUCGGAUCGUAAAGCUCUGUUGUAAGGGAAGAACAAGUGCAGUAGUAACUGGCUGCACCUUGACGGUACCUUGCGAGGAAGCCACGGCUAACUACGUGCCAGCAGCCGCGGUAAUACGUAGGUGGCAAGCGUUGUCCGGAAUUAUUGGGCGUAAAGCGCGCGCAGGCGGUCUUUUAAGUCUGAUGUGAAAGCCCCCGGCUUAACCGGGGAGGGUCAUUGGAAACUGGGAGACUUGAGUACAGAAGAGGAAAGUGGAAUUCCAAGUGUAGCGGUGAAAUGCGUAGAGAUUUGGAGGAACACCAGUGGCGAAGGCGACUUUCUGGUCUGUUACUGACGCUGAGGCGCGAAAGCGUGGGGAGCGAAC